CCUACGGGUGGCAGCAGUGAGGAAUAUUGGUCAAUGGGCGCGAGCCUGAACCAGCCAAGUCGCGUGAGGGAAGACGGCCCUACGGGUUGUAAACCUCUUUUGCCGGGGAGCAACGGGCGCCACGUGUGGCGCCACUGAGAGUACCCGGAGAAAAAGCAUCGGCUAACUCCGUGCCAGCAGCCGCGGUAAUACGGAGGAUGCGAGCGUUAUCCGGAUUUAUUGGGUUUAAAGGGUGCGUAGGCGGAGCGUUAAGUCAGUGGUCAAAUUGAGGGGCUCAACCCCUUCCCGCCAUUGAAACUGGCGCUCUUGAGUGCAGGAGAGGUAAGUGGAAUUCCUAGUGUAGCGGUGAAAUGCGUAGAUAUUAGGAGGAACACCAGUGGCGAAGGCGACUUACUGGACUGUAACUGACGUUGAGGCACGAAAGUGUGGGGAGCAAACAGGAUUAGAUACCCUGGUAGUC
RNAcentral lists this ribosomal RNA (460 nucleotides) under uncultured bacterium. RNAcentral's name for it is "partial 16S ribosomal RNA". It matches the Rfam family "Bacterial small subunit ribosomal RNA", at positions 338 to 795 of the family's 1533-position model. The record is from RNAcentral.